This 840-nucleotide long non-coding RNA is filed under the name Phoenix dactylifera (date palm). Its description in RNAcentral is "long non-coding RNA (PDAC_LNC007067)". Lineage: Eukaryota; Viridiplantae; Streptophyta; Magnoliopsida; Arecales; Arecaceae. The record is from RNAcentral.
CUUAUCAUGUAAUGUUGCUGGAAUUCCUUGACGGCAUGCAUGAUUUCAAACCCUUCAGUUCAGACGGCAGCAUGGCUCGAGGGAGAUGGAGAGUACUGCAGAAUGAAGAUUUAAUUAUUUUCAAUCUCUUCUUUAGAAUAAUAAAUUUGCCAAAAUUGCUAUAGUUUUUGACGGCUUAACAUAAUUACCUUCAGACCUCGAAAAUACUAGUACGAAUAACUGGCUUGAAGUGGAAAUCAUACGUUCAAGGUCAAACUAAUGACUAAAGCUUUUUUUGUCCAUAUGUCUGAGGAAAAUCACCUUGGAAAAUCAGUUUGACAAGAGAUUUCUGUUUUUCUGUAGUUAGUAGACCACCAAACUAUUAUUAAACUAAACAAAGAGUGCAUCUUGUGUCGCCUAGGAAGACUCGAGUGUGACGCAUAAAUGGGCUCAAUGGAACAGAUAAGUGACCAUAAGUGCCUGAAGCUAUUUUACAUAUUCAGUAACAUAAUGCUGAACAAAACCCUGCCAUAUUAUGAGCAAAUACAUUAUCUGCACCAUAAAUGCCGCAGUAGCCUCUAGUGAUGGUCAGCUAAUCAAAAGACCAGGUGAAGAAAGCAGAACUAGCAUCUAUAUUGAUUUGCAAACAUCAAUGAAGAAGACAAGAUACUACCAAAAAGGCUAAUAUCAACAAAAUAUUUCAAGCAUGAAUUCAGACAAUGUGAUGCAAUGUUAUCUGGUCAUAGUUCAAACAAUGAUCUCCAGAAAAGAAACCUUCGAAGCAUCUUGCAAAUCAUGAGCUCAAAAAGAAAAAUAUGAACAACGAUAUAGUCAAUAAGCAACCAACAACAAUGAAACAAC